CCCUUAGAUGUUCUGGGCCGCACGCGUGCUACACUGAGUGGAUCAGCGGGUCAGGUUGCGCGAAAGUGUUUCCUAAUCUUGAAAUCCGCUCGUGAUGGGGAUUGACGGUUGCAAUUUUCCGUCAUGAACGAGGAAUACCUUGUAAGCGCGGGUCAUCAUCCCGCGCUGAAUACGUCCCUGCCCUUUGUACACACCGCCCGUCGCUCCUACCGAUUGAGUGCUACGGUGAAUAAUCCGGACUGCAGCAACGUUCGGUUCCUGAAUGUUGCAGUGGACAGUUUAGUGGACCUUAUCACUUAGAGGAAGGAGAAGUCGUAACA
This 320-nucleotide ribosomal RNA is filed under the name uncultured eukaryote. RNAcentral describes it as "partial 18S ribosomal RNA". It matches the Rfam family "Eukaryotic small subunit ribosomal RNA", at positions 1470 to 1796 of the family's 1831-position model. The record is from RNAcentral.